RNAcentral lists this transfer RNA (86 nucleotides) under Clostridia bacterium. RNAcentral's name for it is "tRNA-Leu". It matches the Rfam family "tRNA". From Rfam's summary of the family: Transfer RNA (tRNA) molecules are approximately 80 nucleotides in length. Lineage: Bacteria; Bacillati; Bacillota; Clostridia. The record is from RNAcentral.
GCGGCAGUGGCGGAAUGGCAGACGCGCUAGGUUCAGGGUCUAGUGGGCACCAGCCCGUGGAGGUUCAAAUCCUCUUUGCCGCACCA